CUCGUAGGUGGUUUGUCGCGUCGUCUGUGAAAUUCCGGGGCUUAACUCCGGGCGUGCAGGCGAUACGGGCAUAACUUGAGCACUGUAGGGGAGACUGGAAUUCCUGGUGUAGCGGUGAAAUGCGCAGAUAUCAGGAGGAACACCGGUGGCGAAGGCGGGUCUCUGGGCAGUAACUGACGCUGAGGAGCGAAAGCAUGGGUAGCGAACA
This 208-nucleotide ribosomal RNA is filed under the name uncultured bacterium. Its description in RNAcentral is "partial 16S ribosomal RNA". It matches the Rfam family "Bacterial small subunit ribosomal RNA", at positions 568 to 774 of the family's 1533-position model. The record is from RNAcentral.